This 693-nucleotide ribosomal RNA is filed under the name uncultured bacterium. Its description in RNAcentral is "bacterial SSU rRNA". It matches the Rfam family "Bacterial small subunit ribosomal RNA", at positions 8 to 730 of the family's 1533-position model. The record is from RNAcentral.
AGAGUUUGAUCAUGGCUCAGAAUGAACGUUGGCGGCGUGGAUUAGGCAUGCAAGUCGAGCGAGAACCGAGGAAGCUUGCUUCCAAGGGGACAGCGGCGAAAGGGAGAGUAACGCGUAGAUACGUACCUUAGGGUUCGGGAUAGCCAUGGGAAACUGUGGGUAAUACCGAAUAAUGUCUCCGGACCAAAGAUUUAUCACCCUGAGAGCGGUCUGCGUCCUACUAGUUUGUUGGUGGGGUAAUGGCCUACCAAGACUAAGAUGGGUACCGGGCGUGAGAGCGUGAUCCGGCUCACUGGGACUGAGACACUGCCCAGACACCUACGGGUGGCUGCAGUCGAGAAUCUUCCGCAAUGGACGCAAGUCUGACGGAGCGACGCCGCGUGCGGGAUGAAGGCCCUCGGGUUGUAAACCGCUGUCAGAGGGGAGGAAAUUUUGACCGAUCCUCAGAGGAAGCGCAGGCUAAGUUCGUGCCAGCAGCCGCGGUAACACGAACUGCGCGAACGUUAUUCGGAAUCACUGGGCUUAAAGAGUUCGUAGGCGGCUUGGUCAGUCAGAUGUGAAAUCCCACAGCCCAACUGUGGAACUGCGUUUGAUACUGCCAAGCUUGAGGGAGUUAGAGGAAAGCGGAACUGAUGGUGGAGCGGUGAAAUGCGUUGAUAUCAUCAGGAACACCGGUGGCGAAAGCGGCUUUCU